UACAGCCAUACCACCCUGCAUAUGCACAAUCUUGUCUGGUCUCAGAAGCUAAGCAGGGUCAGGCCUGGUUAGUAUUUGGAUGGGAGACAAAUAUCCAGAAGAAACUGCUC
This 110-nucleotide ribosomal RNA is filed under the name Castor canadensis (American beaver). The record is from RNAcentral. Lineage: Eukaryota; Metazoa; Chordata; Mammalia; Rodentia; Castoridae.